Long non-coding RNA from Balaenoptera ricei (Rice's whale), 2042 nucleotides. RefSeq lists it as uncharacterized. Lineage: Eukaryota; Metazoa; Chordata; Mammalia; Artiodactyla; Balaenopteridae. The transcript has 2 exons. The record is from RefSeq and is a predicted model, not a curated record.
GGCCGGUGCUGCCCAGCCCCGUAAGGUGAGGCCAGGGUGAGGCUCAGGUCUGCGAGUGGGUGUCCGCGUGCAGAGGAGAGGCUGCUGAGGCCGGGAGUGGAGGCGGGCAGGAGGUGGAGGAGGUUUGAGGGGCGAGCCGAGGCCCAGAGUUGAAGUGAGGCUGCUUCCCCAGCUGGGCCUCCUCCACCCCCGGGGACGGGAGGCUGCGAGGCAGGGCGCUGCUGGAAGGGGAGGUCUGGGGGCACGUGGUGGUGACCGGGUGUGGCGUCUGGUUGGAGGAGUCAAGCCCCAGGGUGGCUGGGGGUGCCCCUGGGCCACGGCCCACGCCCUGCGGGCAGGCCACCACUGCCACGUGCUGGCCCAAGGGGGACGUGCAGGCCCGUGUGCACCUCCGUCGCACAUCUGCAUGCCAUCCUCCCACCCCGAAGAACGACCUGUUCGUCUGACCCCAGGAUCGAGGGAGGGGAGGCCAGGAGACAGGGCCCCGGAACUCACACUGCCUGGUGUCUGCCUGAAGCCGGGGCCUUCCAGCCGCUGGCCCAGAGCCCUCUCCCGGGUGCAGGCCUCCACACCUGCAGGGCAUGUGUGACAGGGCUGCCCACUCCCCAGAGAGGACGUGGCAUCUGCUGGUCACCCAGCCCACACCGUGCCCAUUCCUGCCCCUCUCUGAGCCACAGACUUGGGACCACAGGUAACCUUCCUGGCAGGGCUGGGUGGGCCCCGGUGACGUGCCACUCACUGCCUCAGGCUCCUCCAAGAAUGGGGGACAGGCCUGAGGGCCUGGCCCCCACCUCCCCCCUGCCAGGGCCCUCGGGAAUGGGCCACAUCCUGAGCCAGCCUGCUCUGUGCUGCCCUAGCUGGAGCCUUAGCACCUUGGUCCCAGGUGCCCUGAGCCGGCAGUGGGAACCCGGGGGUGGGGGUCAGGGGUCAGGCAGAAGGAGGGCUGGGAUGAUGGCAGCGCCCCUCUGCAUCCACCUCCCAAAAACUGUCUACAGUGGAUGGCAUCUAUGCAGUCAUUCAAAGAGCUCACAGCCUCAGCCCUUCCUACCCUGUGCCCCGCUGCCACUGGUCACUUAAAGGUCACACCAGCUCGCUCAGCCUCAGGCCGUGUGUGCCCUGGGCCCGGGCCCACACACCUGCCUCUUCCCAGCUGCUCCCCACGUGCCCCCGUGUGGCCCCGCAGUGGUUUCUGGUUUGGCUAGGCAGGCAGCGGACCGAGGGCCACCCACUGCCGCCAAGGCCACCUGUGGGCAGGGGGAGGGUCUCUCUGAGGGAGGGGCAGGUGCUGGGCGGCCCCUGAGAAUGAAGGUCUGCUGACACCUUCGCCUCAAGGAGCCCAGCCUGAGCCCCCCGCUGCGCCCUUCCCACUGGCAGCCCCAUAAACGCUGCUCCCACCAGCUCGGCACCAUAUGGCAAGUUCCAGACCGCACCUCCCUCCGUCUCACCGUCCCAGGGCCGGUGCCCCGUCCCCCAUCCACCUCUUGCUCUCCCCGCAGCCCCUCUGCUGUCCUCUACAUCCUGCCUCUCCGUCCGCUUCUCAGUAGGCUGGAAAAGUGGCGGAGUGAGGGCUGGGCUGGGCUGGGCCCGGGGGUGGGGACCUCUCGUCACUGGCCAGCUCCGGGCCAGGUGCCCACUCCUGCGUUGAGUGGGGCCCCGGGAGGGGUGUAGGUGGACCCGUCACCCCUUGCAAGGUUGGGGAUCGCCCUACGGAUUGUCCAGCAGGCGUGCUGAGAGCACGGCUCCCGGGGUCACAGCAGGACAGACUCAACAGACUCACCGAGAGCGUGGCAGGGUACACAGGGAUCUAUGGUUGCGGGUCUCCCCGCGCGGCCGUGACCACGUCGGGAGAAGCCGGGGCCUUGCCCCCAUCCAGCACUGGCUGAGUCAGGGCUUGGUUGCCCCCCAGCCCCAUAGCUGCGGCCACACGGCUGCCCAGGCCAGUCCACCUGGCUUCCAGGCCACAACGAGGGUUCAACAGAGACCAUGGCCCCCACACCCCGAGGACACCCCGUUCCCUGAAUAAUAAAGGCUACCGUCAAAGC